GAUAAAUAUAAAAACAGGAAAGACUCUAAUCAGGAUACAGAAUUUUCAGGCACAGCUAGCAGCUAGGAAGGUCCUACUUGUCUGAGGCUACAAGCAUGAAACAGAGCAGAUAUUACAGUCAGAGCAGAGGAAGUACAUGAAUAGCCUGAAGUCCUACAGAAAAUUGGUGUCAAACCCAGCAUUUUAACUUGGGCCCUUUUGGAAGAGAGGGUGCUUAACCCUGGAAGGUUUCCACUUUCCCAAGGCAACUUUCAGUGUGCUGGGUUAUAUUUGCAUUAUUGACUGAAAUAACUAAUCUGAUCACAGAGUGAAGUUCUGCAGCUGUUUUUCUACAGUAUCUGCACAUUUGAAGAGACACCAAAGAUAAUAGUUGUAUGAAAGCCCUCUUUUGAUACUCUGUUUCUACACUGGAUGCUAUCACUUGCUUGUGUACAGAAUUCAACCCAACAUCUGCAUUCUCCUCAUUCGCUCUCCUCGUCCUGAGCGAUAAAGGAAGGCUCAAUUCAGCAGCUGCUGCUUCUCUUGUCAUUAUGUUGCAAACAAUAAAGAAAUUAUGCUCAUA
This is a non-coding RNA of Cyanistes caeruleus (blue tit), 562 nucleotides long. The record is from RefSeq and is a predicted model, not a curated record. Lineage: Eukaryota; Metazoa; Chordata; Aves; Passeriformes; Paridae.